RNAcentral lists this ribosomal RNA (1702 nucleotides) under Limosilactobacillus reuteri. Its description in RNAcentral is "bacterial LSU rRNA". It matches the Rfam family "Bacterial large subunit ribosomal RNA", at positions 1 to 1693 of the family's 2925-position model. The record is from RNAcentral. Lineage: Bacteria; Bacillati; Bacillota; Bacilli; Lactobacillales; Lactobacillaceae.
UUAGGUUAAGUUAUGAAGGGCGCAUGGUGAAUGCCUUGGUACUAGGAGCCGAUGAAGGACGGGACUAACACCGAUAUGCUUCGGGGAGCGGUAAGUACGCUUUGAUCCGGAGAUUUCCGAAUGGGGCAACCCAAUCAGCUUAGUCGCUGAUUACUUGACUAGUGAAUACAUAGCUAGCAAGAGGUAGACGCAGUGAACUGAAACAUCUUAGUAGCUGCAGGAAGAGAAAGAAACAUCGAUUCCCUGAGUAGCGGCGAGCGAAAAGGGAAGAGCCCAAACCAACAAGCUUGCUUGUUGGGGUUGUAGGACUGAACAUUAGAGUUACCAAAGUGCGACGUAGUCGCAACAGUUGGGAAGCUGUGCCAUAGAGGGUGAAAGCCCCGUAGACGAAACGUCACACUCUCUGUUCAGGAUCCUGAGUACGGCGGGACACGUGAAACCCCGUCGGAACCCGCGAGGACCAUCUCGCAAGGCUAAAUACUCCCUAGUGACCGAUAGUGAACCAGUACCGUGAGGGAAAGGUGAAAAGCACCCCGGAAGGGGAGUGAAAUAGUUCCUGAAACCAUGUGCCUACAAGCUGUCGGAGCCCGUUAAUGGGUGACGGCGUGCCUCUUGCAGAAUGAACCGGCGAGUUACGAUUGCAUGCAAGGUUAAGGUGGAAAAACCGGAGCCGUAGCGAAAGCGAGUCUUAAAUGGGCGUAAGAAGUAUGUAGUUGUAGACCCGAAACCAGGUGACCUACCCAUGUCCAGGUUGAAGGUGCGGUAAAGCGCACUGGAGGACCGAACCCGUGUCAGUUGAAAAUGGCUGGGAUGAGGUGUGGGUAGCGGUGAAAUUCCAAACGAACUUGGAGAUAGCUGGUUCUCUCCGAAAUCUCUUUAGGGGGAGCCUUGAGGUAAAGAAUCGUGGAGGUAGAGCUACUGUUUGGACAAGGGGCCCGUCAUGGGUUACCAACUUCAGAUAAACUCCGAAUGCCAUCGAUUUAUACUCAGGAGUCAGACGAUGAGUGAUAAGAUCCACCGUCGAAAGGGGAACAGCCCAGAUCACCAGUUAAGGUCCCUAAAUAUAUGCUAAGUGGAAAAGGAUGUGGAGUUGCAUAGACAACUAGGAUGUUGGCUUAGAAGCAGCCACCAUUUAAAGAGUGCGUAAUAGCUCACUAGUCGAGUGAUCCUGCGCCGAAAAUGUACCGGGGCUAAGCAUAUUACCGAAACUGUGGAUGUGCACUAUGUGCACGUGAUAGGAGAGCGUUCUAAGGGCGGCGAAGUCAGACCGUGAGGACUGGUGGAGCGCUUAGAAGUGAGAAUGCCGGUAUGAGUAGCGAAAGACAGGUGAGAAUCCUGUCCACCGAAUGACUAAGGUUUCCUGGGGAAGGCUCGUCCUCCCAGGGUAAGUCGGGACCUAAGCCGAGGCCGAGAGGCGUAGGCGAUGGAUAACAGGUUGAGAUUCCUGUACCAGUUAACUGCGUUUGACGAUGGAGGGACGCAGGAGGCUAAGCAAACCGUACGACUGGAAGAGUACGGCCAAGCAGUAAGUCAGGAUGUGAGUCAAAUGUUUACAUCCGCGUUGACAAGCUGUGAUGGGGAGCGAAAUUAAAGUAGCGAAGUUGCCGAUGUCACACUGCCGAGAAAAGCUUCUAAGGAGUAGUUAACUGCCCGUACCGCAAACCGACACAGGUAGUCGAGGAGAGAAUCCUAAGGUGAGCGA